UUUAUUUAACAAAAUAAGCAAACUCUAUGUUACAAUGAUUGCACAGCCAUUAAGGAUCAAAUCAGUUUCUGAAAUAUGUUCUGUUUUUUCUCCCUCUGCUUGCUUCUUACUGUCUUUGAGGCUCGGGACCAGCACUCCUGUUGUUGGACAGAAAGACAUCAACUCAGUGACUUGAGAUAUGACUGCACUUUGCUGUUGCUGUGACUCCAGUUAAUUCUACAAGACAUGAUGUGACACCAGGAGAGAUGAGUCCUCCGUCACAGAUGGUGUGGUCAGUGAAGAUGGUCGCCUGCAGGUUCAAGCUCAUUGCAUCUCCAACCCACAUCCACUGCCACUGUACUUAAGGGAAGUUAAAGACUUUCUUCUGCACUUACUUUUGGAUCACCUCGA
Long non-coding RNA from Pelmatolapia mariae (spotted tilapia), 390 nucleotides. RefSeq lists it as uncharacterized. The record is from RefSeq and is a predicted model, not a curated record. The transcript is spliced from 3 exons. Lineage: Eukaryota; Metazoa; Chordata; Actinopteri; Cichliformes; Cichlidae.